GUAGGGUGCGAGCGUUGUCCGGAUUUAUUGGGGGGCGUAAAGGGGCUCGUAGGGUGGGUUGAUCGCGUCGGAAGUGUAAUCUUGGGGCUUAACCCUGAGCGUGCUUUCGAUACGGGUUGACUUGAGGAAGGUAGGGGAGAAUGGAAUUCCUGGUGGAGCGGUGGAAUGCGCAGAUAUCAGGAGGAACACCAGUGGCGAAGGCGGUUCUCUGGGCCUUUCCUGACGCUGAGGAGCGAAAGCGUGGGGAGCGAACAGGCUUAGAUACCCUGGUAGUCCACGCUGUAAACGGUGGGUACUAGGUGUGGGGUCCAUUCCACGGGUUCCGUGCCGUAGCUAACGCUUUAAGUACCCCGCCUGGGGAGUACGGCCGCAAAGGCUA
RNAcentral lists this ribosomal RNA (379 nucleotides) under uncultured organism. RNAcentral describes it as "partial 16S ribosomal RNA". It matches the Rfam family "Bacterial small subunit ribosomal RNA", at positions 527 to 896 of the family's 1533-position model. The record is from RNAcentral.